Molecule: ribosomal RNA, 373 nt
Filed under: uncultured Desulfosporosinus sp.
Lineage: Bacteria; Bacillati; Bacillota; Clostridia; Eubacteriales; Desulfitobacteriaceae
Description: bacterial SSU rRNA
Rfam family: Bacterial small subunit ribosomal RNA
Source: RNAcentral
UAGAAAGUUACUUCGGUACAUCGGUGACAGGUGGUGCAUGGUUGUCGUCAGCUCGUGUCGUGAGAUGUUGGGUUAAGUCCCGCAACGAGCGCAACCCCUAUUGUUAGUUGCCAUCAUUCAGUUGGGCACUCUAGCGAGACUGCCGGUAAUAAACCGGAGGAAGGUGGGGAUGACGUCAAAUCAUCAUGCCCCUUAUGUUCUGGGCUACACACGUGCUACAAUGGCCGGUACAGACGGAGGCGAAGCCGCGAGGCGGAGCAAAUCCGAAAAAGCCGGUCUCAGUUCGGAUUGCAGGCUGCAAUUCGCCUGCAUGAAGUCGGAAUCGCUAGUAAUCGCAGGUCAGCAUACUGCGGUGAAUACGUUCCCGGGCCUU